CGCCUAAACUCAAAGUUUUGUCCCUUCUCUUCAUCGUCUUCCUCACCUCCACAUUCUUCUCCAUCUGAUACACCAGCCACCGCCUUAGGAAAGUACAAAGGACAUAGCCACCACCAUGGGUAAGUAGGAGGUGUCAACAGCCUUGGAAAUCAAGUUUCAGAUUGGUGAUUCCCCAAAGCUAUGAAGCUAGAGCUGGAACCCUAGAAUCAAGAGCUGGAACUCUAACAAUCUGGAGGUGGCGAGUCUAGUACCUAUAUGGGAACUUGUUUUCAUCCGGAUACUUAACGUGAAAAUCAAUCGAGGUGACGAAUAAAUAAGUUUGAAGUUAUUUUAAUGCAAGGGUGUUUUUAAUAAUGUAAUAUACAUGUGUGUUAUUGUUAAUCAUGCUUGGGUUCCUAGACAAGAACUUGGAAUAUAGUUGACAUUUUGUUGUAAAUGUUGGUGUAAACCCCUCUUGUAAUAAAGGUUGUGUUUCAAUUUCGGAAA
This is a long non-coding RNA of Rosa rugosa (rugosa rose), 486 nucleotides long. RefSeq lists it as uncharacterized. NCBI's taxonomy places the organism in Eukaryota, Viridiplantae, Streptophyta, Magnoliopsida, Rosales, Rosaceae. The record is from RefSeq and is a predicted model, not a curated record. The transcript has 3 exons.